UGCUUGUAACCCCCAACAAACAGCCUUCUUGU
Molecule: non-coding RNA, 32 nt
Filed under: Mus musculus (house mouse)
Lineage: Eukaryota; Metazoa; Chordata; Mammalia; Rodentia; Muridae
Source: RNAcentral